CCGCUUGUCUGGUUCCCAAAUGUCAC
RNAcentral lists this non-coding RNA (26 nucleotides) under Homo sapiens (human). The record is from RNAcentral. Lineage: Eukaryota; Metazoa; Chordata; Mammalia; Primates; Hominidae.